RNAcentral lists this long non-coding RNA (388 nucleotides) under Coturnix japonica (Japanese quail). Its description in RNAcentral is "lncRNA (ENSCJPG00005008610.1)". Lineage: Eukaryota; Metazoa; Chordata; Aves; Galliformes; Phasianidae. The record is from RNAcentral.
ACCUUGCAACCUCACAAUCUGUGAUUAUAUCACCAGCUGGGACACGUGCUGGAGAGGAAUUAGAUGAACUGGAUGAUAACAUUUUUCCAUUCAGAGGGCGUGUGUGACUCUCCUCAAGGAACAGAAUGCCUGAAAUCAAUGGAUUCCAGGUUGCACCAUGAGAAGAGAGCUCCCACAUUCACCAAGGGCUUGUGGAAGAAGGAGAGCAGCAAGGAGAAUGCACAACAGCCUUCAAAUCCAGGGUGUUUCCCAGGUGCUUUGAAACUGAAGAGCAAAAAGGCUGUGUGAGAUGCUUCUUUCAAACAUGUCUGCUGCUCUGAAGGGCAUGCACUGAUUGUAAGGACAACACCUCUGUGCCCUCCUUGCAAACAAGGACAUUUUCCCACAG